This 233-nucleotide ribosomal RNA is filed under the name uncultured Lactobacillus sp. RNAcentral's name for it is "partial 16S ribosomal RNA". It matches the Rfam family "Bacterial small subunit ribosomal RNA", at positions 128 to 355 of the family's 1533-position model. Lineage: Bacteria; Bacillati; Bacillota; Bacilli; Lactobacillales; Lactobacillaceae. The record is from RNAcentral.
GCCCAAGAGAUCGGGAUAACACCUGGAAACAGAUGCUAAUACCGGAUAACAACAGAUGAUGCCUAUCAACUGUUUAAAAGAUGGUUCUGCUAUCACUCUUGGAUGGACCUGCGGUGCAUUAGCUAGUUGGUAGGGUAACGGCCUACCAAGGCAUGAUGCAUAGCCGAGUUGAGAGACUGAUCGGCCACAUUGGGACUGAGACACGGCCCAAACUCCUACGGGAGGCAGCAGCA